Molecule: long non-coding RNA, 2637 nt
Filed under: Pan troglodytes (chimpanzee)
Lineage: Eukaryota; Metazoa; Chordata; Mammalia; Primates; Hominidae
Description: long non-coding RNA NONPTRT013271
Source: RNAcentral
GGAAAUUCAGAAAAGGUAGUCAUUAAUUAUGGUUGAGGGCUUGAGAAAGUCUUAAUGGAAUAACAGUUGAGUUGGGCUUUGAAAAAUGGAUAGAUUUUAACAUGAAGAGGGAGAAGAGUUGAGUACCUGGUAGAGGAAAUCCCAGAUAAGGAAUGAGCGAUCAUGAAGAUGCUUGUCAUUUUGUGAAGUAGAUUAUAGUCCUAUGUGGUUGGACUUACAUACAGCCUUAUUAAAGGCCGUCUUUGGGGAAUGUGUAAAACCUUGCUUACAUACAAGGUCUCUCAUGGUGCUUUGUGUGUCAUACAUGCUAGAUAUUUACCAGGCAAACAAAUACACAUGAAAGAAUGUCACCAAGAGAAGGGGUGGAGGCUGAGUAUGCAGAAUAAUACUCAACCUCACUGUGUCUCAGUAUUUUCACCUAAAAACAAGAGAGUAAAAAGGUAAGACCCUUCAAACUACUUUUGGUUCUAAUAUUCUGUAACAACAAUUUCUAUAACUUAAUACCAAUCCUAAUUAGUUCCAGUUUAAGCAAGGAAAACAUGUAGAUAAUGUUUUGUUAAGAGUAAAUGAAUUUGGUUGUCUAUCUGCCAUAGGGAAAGAAAGUGAAAUGUAGUCUUGAAAAAUGCUGUUGGUCAGCACAAAAAUAAUCUGUUGGUCAGAACAAAGAGAAUCAGGUUGAUCCAUUACAGGGCUAUUAUUUUAUAACCUAUUCAAAGUUGCUGCUAUUCUGGGCUUAAAAAAAGAGACACUGCUUAGCACUUCCCUUUUAAGAUUCCAGUUUUCAAGAGCUUUCUCUGUAUGGAGGCUUCAGUUUCUAAAAAUAAACAAAAUAGGAAGAUUUCUCCUUGGAGGAAACAUUUAGCAACAACCACAAAAGUUCAAAAGGGAAAUUCAUUGUCCAACAAGAGGAAGGAGAAAAAUCUAGCUUCCUUCCAUUUAAAAAAAAUUAUUUUACUUGCUGAGUUUUCUAAAAGUUCCUUAGAUUAAGAAGGAAAAUGGGAAAGUCAAGAAUAUUACAGUUUGUAUUUGAAAGGAGUGAACAACCAACCAUCACUGCAUCAUUUAAGAAUAUAUUUUUUAAAAAGCAUAAAAGAUACAAGCAAUUAUGGCUCAUUUUUAUGUUGUCCACAAUGCAUUUAUUCAUUGAUUCAUUCCUUUAUCUAUUAAAUAUUUGUUGAGCACCUAAUGUGUGUCAGAUGCUGUGCCAGGCACUGAGCUGGAGAUGUGACUUGACUAGUAGCUCCGUAGUGGUCCCUCAGCAUGGUAACCUCAGUCUUUUAUUCUAUGUGGUAUAUAUUGUGGACUGGCUAAUUCCAUUUGUAGUUCAUCACUCUUCUAGUAUGUUUUUCUCUACUCAGAGUUUGGAAAGGUGAAGAUUUCAUUUCCCAAGACAGAUUUUUCCAGUUUGGUAUACUUGCAUGAGAUCUGGGAUGCAAAAUUGAAGUGGAGCCUAUUUUCCUGACUUUUGCCUGAUUUCAUUGGCAAACAAAGUCAUGAACUGUGAAGUUUUCUGGUAGCAAUGUUAUUGUGUCUAUUCUCCAGCUCCUUGUGGAGAGGAAGCUGAAGGCCAUGUUCAGCUUCUUGAUUCCCACUUCCUAAUUUCUUUAUUACAGCUAUGACCAUGUGUUCUCGAACCCAAUUGCUCCAGUGGUGGCCUCAGAGGAAUAGUGACUUGAUUCUAAGGAGUAGAUCUAGGAUUCAUUUCUAGAGACCAAGCUCUGUCAGGGAUUUUCUUAACAACAACUGUACUUCUAUUUUCAGCCUGUUUAUAUGCUGAGGUCUAGACCUGCCUAGUGAUACCUGGGCUCCAAUUCAAGUUGAGAUUUGGGUGGGGACACAGCCAAACCAUAUCAGAAGCCAAGUUUUUUAUUGUAAGUAAAGGGAUUUAUAAAUAUGGAAAGGGAGAAACAGGAAUGAAACCUGCAAUGUUGCAAGCGAUCCUCCCGCUUCAGCCUUCCAAGUAGCUGGGACUUCAGGUAUGUGCCACCGCACUUGGGUAAUUAAAAAAUUUUUUUAGAAGUGGGUUUUUGUUAUGUUGCCCAGGCUGGUCUUGAACUUCUUCUUUCUUCUCAUUAUCUUCAUUGUCCAGCAUAAAAAUAUGGAAACUUGGGAGAAGAGUAUGGAGGGAAGAGGAGAAGUUUUGAGAGAAACUAGUAAUAUUUGCAUGUUAAGAAAUAUCAUCCCUACCAUAUGUAUUAGUAAAUUUCCAUUAUUUUUCCUAAACUGAUGUGAGUUGGUUCCUACCAUUUCUAAAAAGGGAUCUUAAGUGGUAGAGUUAGAGCUACUCUUCAGGUAUAGUGAACUGGGAAGACAGUCCUUCACCCAGGACUUUUCAGGUAUCUGAGUAAUGAAACAGGGAGGCAGAAGAUGGGGAAAAAAAGUUAAGGGGAUGGUUCUCUUAGCUCAUACUGAAGAAUACCCCCUAAUUUAUUCUCUACUUAAUGGCCAGAGAGAUCUUUUUUUUUUUCUCCAGACAGAGUUUCAUUCUUGUCGCCCAGCCCGGAGUACAAUGGUACAAUCCUGGCUCACUGCAACCUUCGCCUCCUGAAUUCAAGUGAUCCUCCUGCCUCAGCUUCCCACGUAGCUGAGAUUCCAGGCACAUGACACCACGCCUGGCUAAUUUUGUAUUUUUAGUAG